RNAcentral lists this unclassified non-coding RNA (285 nucleotides) under plant metagenome. RNAcentral's name for it is "partial contains small subunit ribosomal RNA, internal transcribed spacer 1, and 5.8S ribosomal RNA". The stretch from base 1 to 54 matches the Rfam family "Eukaryotic small subunit ribosomal RNA", at positions 1778 to 1831 of the family's 1831-position model. The record is from RNAcentral.
GGAAGUAAAAAUCGUAACAAGGUUUCCGUAGGUGAACCUGCGGAAGGAUCAUUAUUGUAUAACCGAGGUGCGAGGGCUGUCGCUGACCCGAAAGGUCGUGCACGCCCGAGUGCCCUCACACACAUCCAUCUCACCCCUAUGUGCACCACCGCGUGGGUCCCCCUUUGGCUUGUUCGGAGGGGGGCUUACGUUUUCACACAAACUUUGUAUGCAGUGUAGAAUGUAUUUUUUGUUUUUGCGAUCACGCAACCAAUACAACUUUCAACAACGGAUCUCUUGGCUCUC